UACAGAGGUCUCAAGCGUUGUUCGGAAUUACUGGGCGUAAAGGGUGCGCAGGCCGCGCGGGCAGUCAAAUGUGUAAUUCAGGGGCUCAACCCCUGCACUGCGCUUGAUACUUCCGCGCUCGAGCUUUGGAGAGGAGUCUGGAAUUCUCGGUGUAGCAGUGAAAUGCGUGGGUAUCGAGAAGAACACUUAGGGCGAAGGCAAGACUCUGGACAAAUGCUGACGCUCAUGCACGAAGGCUAGGGUAGCGAACGGG
Molecule: ribosomal RNA, 253 nt
Filed under: uncultured bacterium
Lineage: Bacteria
Description: partial 16S ribosomal RNA
Rfam family: Bacterial small subunit ribosomal RNA
Source: RNAcentral